Solanum stenotomum is the source of this 546-nucleotide long non-coding RNA. RefSeq lists it as uncharacterized. The transcript is spliced from 4 exons. The record is from RefSeq and is a predicted model, not a curated record. NCBI's taxonomy places the organism in Eukaryota, Viridiplantae, Streptophyta, Magnoliopsida, Solanales, Solanaceae.
UCCUCCCUCUCUAAGUUGACCAUUGAGUAUUGCCCUAUUCUCCAAUCACUUCCAGUAAAAGGGAUGCCCUCUUCCCUCUCUACACUAACUAUUUUCCAAUGCCCAUUGCUCAGACCACUACUAGAAUUUGACAAGGGGGAAUACUGGCUAAAUAUUGCUCAAAUUCCCAUCAUACUGAUCGAUUAUAAAUACCUGUAAUGAUUAAAACAAAUGGUGCUCUGACAAAUUGUGGAAUGUCUAUUGCUCAAACCACGGCUACUGACAAAAAAUUGUUGAUAUUUCCACCAUAAAUGUUGAUUGGGAGAGCCUGUAAUGAUUAAAACGAGUGGUGCUUCAAUAAAUACUGAAAUAUUUUUCGCCAUCAUGAAAUAAAGUUCUGCUCAUAUCUUCACCAUAGAAGUCGAUGGAGAAUACAUUAAAUGAUUAAAACGAAUGGUGCUCUCACAAAUGAUUUUGGUAACAUUAUAUGUAAGCUAUUACUGCUCUAGCGCAGUUUGUAAAAGGAAAGUUCUGCUGUAAUUCUCUAUUGAAUAGACUGUGGUCUGA